CGGGGCAGCGGCCGUUGGCGGCGCGGCCCUGCCUCAGCCGAUAGCUGCCUGCGUGUCCCAGCGAGGGCCGCAGAGCCGCCGGCUGCGGCCGAGCUGCCCCCGCUGCCGAGGAGGUGGCCGGGCGCCCUGGCUGUGUGCUGCCAGCCCGCUCCCCACCCCCUUGCAGCUCACCCAGCUGCUCUUCUUCGUUGUUUACUUUGAAAUCCUUCUGCAGCUUUACCUGCCCUGUCUUCUGGUAAGUUCUGAGACCGAAUUUUCCUCUCUCUUCCCUUCUCUCUUUCUAUUCCCUGCUCCUUCCACCUGGCAAGAAAGGAAAAACGGAGGCCUGGGGCCUUCACCUGCUCUAGGAACGUGACCUGGAGCCCUGAGGACCUAACCUGCUCACUAACAUUUGCCAGAAGUGUCUUUUCUGAAGGAAUCAUACUUCAGGGGUGCUACAGAGGCCAGCAGGAAAUGCUUUUUUUGGAGCAUGUGAUCCAUCAGCUUGUCCAAAUUCAACCAGUGGUUCCAGGAUUUAUUUUCUUAAUAAGGGGCUGCAGGGACAGCAUCUUCUCCACAACAUCCUCCCUGUGUUUCUGGAAGCAGUGAUCACCAAGGAGGCCAUCCCAGAGGAGCUGCUGCAAUGCCUGAGGAAUAAAAGUUCUUUAUGAAGAGAGGAAAUGAGAGGGAAAGAACAGUGGUGACUGACAUGGAAAGGUUCCUACCUGGACAUGCAGCUGGACUGCCAGCAGACUCUCACUGGCAUGGUGGUUGUACCAAGUCACACACAGGUGGAAGAAAACAGCAUCCUGAGAAUAAGGGCAGAGAUACAGACUUCAGACACAAAAUACACUUGGAAAUCUUUCCCAAGGGAAAAAGAGGAAGUAAGGGAGCAGAGGGUGGCUGAAUCUACCAGAACAAGUCAAGACUGCUAGCUAGCCCUAAAUCCCAAAGGCUAAGACCUCUGAUUGUGCUUUUUGCAAGUUACUUGAUCAUUUGCUGAAAAACAAGCGUCUCUGGAUGCAUGCAGAGGAAGAAGCAACACAUCCCAGGGUCUGCUAUUCUCCUAUUACAGAGCUAGGGUAAAAAGAACGCCUUCACAAGCAGACUCUGGGAAGCAACAAAAAAGCAAAAGUCUGAUACUAAAACAUGUUGAUAUAA
Rhea pennata is the source of this 1140-nucleotide long non-coding RNA. RefSeq lists it as uncharacterized. NCBI's taxonomy places the organism in Eukaryota, Metazoa, Chordata, Aves, Rheiformes, Rheidae. The transcript has 6 exons. The record is from RefSeq and is a predicted model, not a curated record.